This 2842-nucleotide long non-coding RNA is filed under the name Olea europaea subsp. europaea. Lineage: Eukaryota; Viridiplantae; Streptophyta; Magnoliopsida; Lamiales; Oleaceae. The record is from RNAcentral.
UCAAGCUCUCCAUGUAAAAAAGCGGCUUUUACAUCGAGUUGUUCAAGUUCCCAGUCAAAGAGCGCAACCAAUGCGAGCACGACCCUAAUAGUAGUGUACUUGACAACUGGUGAGAAAAUUUCGUUAUAAUCAACACCUUCUUUCUGUGUGUAACCCUUCGCUACUAACCUAGCCUUAAAUCUUAAGGGUUCUGUACUACUAGUACCUUCCUUAACCUUAAAGACCCACUUGCAAUCAACGAUUGAUUUAUUCUUAGGUCUCGGUACUAACUCCCAAGUUUGAUUCUUUUCUAGAGAACUCAUCUCUUCUUUCAUAGCCUUAAGCCACUCCUUAGAUUGACCACUAUUCAUAGCCUCUUCAAAAGUUUUCGGCUCCCUAUCAACUAGUUCUUCGUAACUAGCGUAUGCAAAAUCCAAUUCAGAUUCAUACCCGAACCUCCUAGGUUCUCUCGUUUGUCUUCUCUCUCUAUCUCUAACUAAAUUAUAGUUGGCUAAUGGAUUUUCUUCCUCAGGAUGCUCUUCUAUCACUACUUCAUUUUCCUCUUCAAGUUCUUGGACCUGAAUCUCCACCUCACUCGAAGUACUAGGUACUGAUGUGUUAAAUUUUCCUAACUCCACCUUGAACCGAUUUCUUUCUUCACCUGAUUCAGUUUCACUUACAGGUUCGGUUUCGUUCCUCAGACAAGGCAUCUCACUCUCAUUAAAUGUGAAAUCCCUACUCACGAUGAUCUUAACUCCUUUUUGGCUUCUAUCCCAUAGCCUAUAGCCCUUAACCCCUUCGGGAUAUCCUAGAAAGACACACUUCCUGGCUCUAAGUUCUAACUUUCCCUCACUUUGAUGAGAGAACGCAGCACAGCCAAACGCUUUAAGCAUUGAGUCACCCAAUUUUCCAGACCAUUUCUCAUGUGGAGUAUCACCAUUUAAUGCAGCCGAUGGAGUCAAAUUUAUUAAAUAACAGGCAAUUACAACGGCUUCACCCCAAAAUGACUUAGGAACCCCAGAACUUAACAUCAUGCAGCGCACUUUGUCUAGUAUGGUCCUAUUCAUUCUUUCUGCUACCCCAUUUUGUUGGGGAGUAUAAGGAACCGUUUUGUGCCUUGUUAUUCCACUUUCUUUACACAUCCUAUCGAAUUCAGCAUUACAGAAUUCUAGGCCGUUAUCUGUCCUUAAAAAUUUGAUCCUCUUGCUAGUUUGGUUUUCCAUUUGUUUCUUCCAGUUGUUAAAGUUAUGGAAGGUUUCAGUUUUGUCUUUCAAUAGAUAGACCCACACUUUCCUGGUGUAGUCAUCUAUGAUAGAUAGGAAAUACCUAUUCCCACUCGAUGUGGGAUUACUAGCAGGACCCCAUAGAUCAGAAUGCACAUAUUCAAGCAUGCUUUUAACCUUAUGCGUACUAGUGGAGAAUGACACUCUAUGGUGCUUUCCAAGCACACAGUGACCACAGAACGAUAGGUCAGACACACGGUCAUUACCAAAUGCACCUUUUUCAUUAAGUAGCUUAAGUCCUUUAAUGCUUACGUGUGCAAGCCUACUAUACCACGUAUGUGUGUGAUCGAUUUUGGCGGAAAAAAUAGAGGAGUUUAAUCCUCUAAUCACUUCCCCAGUAGUGAUGUAAAUGUCGUUUUUCUUGAUUCCCUUAAUAGAGAUUAGCGCACCUUUCAUCAUUUUAAACAUACCGUUUUCAAUUUUACCGGUGAAGUUGUCUUUCUCAAGUCUUCCUACUGAAAUUAAAUUCCUAGAUAAUUCAGGAAUGUAUCUAACUUCCUUUAACAUGUACACAAAGCCUGUGUUAAAUUUUAUCUUUAUAUCUCCAAUUCCAGCAAUUGUAUAGGCAAAGUUAUCACACAGAACUACUUGCCCAUCAUUAGAUUCUUGCAAGUUUUCAAACCAGUUCUUUUCAGACGUCACAUGAAAAGACGCACCAGAAUCUAAUAUCCAUUCAUGCAUGUGAGAAUUAGUAGUUAGAUUUAAUUCAGUAGUGUAUGCGACUGGACUAGUGAUCACAUAGAUUUCACCGUUUUCGGUAUCGGAGGUAGAGGAUAACACAUUUACCUCAUCUCUUUCCUUAACCUUUUGUUUUCCCUUUUCUUUAUGACAGUCUUUUAUAAAAUGCCCUGUGCCUCCACAGCCAUAGCAUUUUCUAGCCUUAAUUCUAGACUUUGACCUAGGUCUACUAUUCCCCUUCUUUUUCCAACAAUUACUACUUGAUUCGCCACUACCUUGGUAUCCAUCAUGACUGGCUUGCCUAAAUUGAGUUCUACCCCGCAUCAUAUGCAACUCUCCACUCCUCCUAUCCUGUUUUUUAGCCCUUAUUUUCAUCUCCUUACUCCUAAGAGAAUCUACGACAAUUUCAGGUGUUAACGUGUCCCUACCAUACUUAAUGGCAUUUUUAACUUCUUUAUAAGAGUCCGGGAUUGAAUUGAGCAAGAUAAUGGCCUUAUAGGUUUCAGACACGGCUUCGUCACAAUUGACAAUAUCUUGCACCAAUUUGUUAAAUACAUCUAAAUUAUUGUCGAGAUCCUUUGAAGGAUCCAUUUUAAAGCUGAAGAAUCGUUCGAGUAGGUAGAGUUUAUUCGGUGUAAAUUUAAGCAAGUAUAAGUCUUCUAGUCUUUUCCAAAGUUCUUUGGUGGUUUUUAGUUUUCCCACUUUUCUAAAGACGGCGUCAGACAAGUUUAAUAUUAUUGAGGUAUAGGCAAGCUUAUCGGCUUCCUCUUUUUGUUCUUUUGAGAUGUCAGGUGCAAAAUUGCCUUCGAUGGCUUUUGACACCUUUUGUUGGACUAAUAUGCAUCUCAUCUUUUAUUGCCAGAUAGAGAAGUCCCCUUUACCAUUAAAUAUUCCCAAAUCAA